Molecule: ribosomal RNA, 396 nt
Filed under: uncultured bacterium
Lineage: Bacteria
Description: bacterial SSU rRNA
Rfam family: Bacterial small subunit ribosomal RNA
Source: RNAcentral
AAUCAACGCUGGCGGCGUGCCUAACACAUGCAAGUCGAGCGAGAAAAGGGGAGCAAUCCUCUGAGUAAAGCGGCGCACGGGUGAGUAACACGUGGGUAAUCUGCCCUGGAGUGGGGAAUAACACCGGGAAACCGGUGCUAAUACCGCAUACGAUCACGAUGUCUGCGGAUGACGUGAUGAAAGGAGCAAUUCGCUCCAGGAGGAGCCCGCGGCUGAUUAGCUAGUUGGUGAGGUAAUGGCUCACCAAGGCUACGAUCAGUAUCCGGUCUGAGAGGACGGUCGGACACACUGGAACUGAGACACGGUCCAGACUCCUACGGGAGGCAGCAGUGGGAAUUUUUCGCAAUGGGGCAACCCUGACGAAGCAACGCCGCGUGGAUGAUGAAGUAUCUCGGU